CGUGGGAAGCCGCUCUGCCCAAUCUCCGUCUGUGCUGCCAGACCCACCGCGGCCAGCUGUCACAGGGUCGCCGUCAAGCCGUGUCGGAGGAGGAACGCCACCGAUGUGCCUCCAUCGUCACUGAGGACGCCGGUUGUCGCUGCCGCCAUCAGAAAAGGGCUCAGGUCGCCGCCGGUGUCGCUACCGGAUAAGGGAGCUGCAUCUCUGUGAUUCUGACCGCUGGGGAUGGUCCUGUGACUUCCGGGAUCUCUGCCGGAGCUCUGGGCUGAGCCUCUACCGCUUGAGACCCUGCUGCUGUCGCCGGAAAAGGGUGCCGAUGUCGUGAUCGGAAUUUGUCGCCGCUGCCGCUUGAGGUGGCUGCCGGGCUGUUGCCGAGCCGGCCCGGAGAACGCCACUGUUUCGGUUCAGCCGUCCUUUCUUAGUUUCGUGUUGCGAUGGUUAUUGCGAAAGUGGCUGGGAGCUGAGGUUUUGGUUGCCGUCAGUCCGGGUUGAGGCGGAAAGGACUUGAAGAGGCGUUUGUGUUAUGGAAUUGCGUUUUGAGGAUAUGGGCGCAGAAGUCACGAAGAGUUUAUUUUGUUAUUGAGAUGCUCUGUGUUGCUUUAGAUUAUUAUUUUUGUACCCUCGCCUUUAUCUUGAUUUAUUCUGUAAGAGGUAUAGGAAUUGUAUUGGUUAAUGUUUGUAAUAUUAUUUAUGUAUAUGUAUGUAUAUAUAUGGAUGUACUCUUUAUGAGUUUUUGUAAGUUGUAUGGUAUCUAUGGAUGUACGU
Non-coding RNA from Arachis ipaensis, 765 nucleotides. The record is from RefSeq and is a predicted model, not a curated record. NCBI's taxonomy places the organism in Eukaryota, Viridiplantae, Streptophyta, Magnoliopsida, Fabales, Fabaceae.